GCCAGGUGUGGUGGUGCACGCCUGUAGUCCCAGCUCCUUGGGAGGCUGAGGCAGGAGGAUUGCUUGAGCCUAGGAGUUCAAGGCUGCAGUGAGCUAUGAUUGCACCACUGCACUCCAGCCUGGGCAACAGAGCAAGAACCUAUCUCUA
RNAcentral lists this signal recognition particle RNA (148 nucleotides) under Gorilla gorilla gorilla (western lowland gorilla). Its description in RNAcentral is "Metazoan signal recognition particle RNA". It matches the Rfam family "Metazoan signal recognition particle RNA". From Rfam's summary of the family: The signal recognition particle (SRP) is a universally conserved ribonucleoprotein. It is involved in the co-translational targeting of proteins to membranes. Lineage: Eukaryota; Metazoa; Chordata; Mammalia; Primates; Hominidae. The record is from Rfam by way of RNAcentral.